UACGUUCGGAGUUGUAGGCUGAAACUCGCCUACAUGAAGCUGGAAUUGCUAGUAAUCACAGGUCAGCAUACUGUGGUGAAUACGUUCCCGGGCCUUGUACACACCGCCCGUCACACCAUGAGAGUUGAGAAUACCCGAAGCCCAUGUCAAAGUGGUCGAAGGUAGGCUUGAUGAUUGGGGUGAAGUCGUAACAAGGUAGC
Molecule: ribosomal RNA, 200 nt
Filed under: uncultured bacterium
Lineage: Bacteria
Description: partial 16S ribosomal RNA
Rfam family: Bacterial small subunit ribosomal RNA
Source: RNAcentral